This 246-nucleotide ribosomal RNA is filed under the name uncultured bacterium. RNAcentral describes it as "partial 16S ribosomal RNA". It matches the Rfam family "Bacterial small subunit ribosomal RNA", at positions 90 to 334 of the family's 1533-position model. The record is from RNAcentral.
AGUGAGUGGCGAACGGGUGAGUAACACGUGAGUAACCUGCCCUCUUCUUUGGGAUAACGCCCGGAAACGGGUGCUAAUACUGGAUAUUCACUGGCCUUCGCAUGGGGGUUGGUGGAAAGGUUUGUUCUGGUGGGGGAUGGGCUCGCGGCCUAUCAGCUUGUUGGUGGGGUGAUGGCCUACCAAGGCUUUGACGGGUAGCCGGCCUGAGAGGGUGACCGGUCACAUUGGGACUGAGAUACGGCCCAG